GAGUUUGAUCGUGGCUCAGAGCGAACGCUGGCGGCAGGCCUAACACAUGCAAGUCGAGCGCCCCGCAAGGGGAGCGGCAGACGGGAGAGUAACACGUGGGAACGUACCCUUCAGUACGGAACAACCAAGGGAAACUUUGGCUAAUACCGUAUACGUCCGUAAGGAGAAAGAUUUAUCGCUGAAGGAUCGGCCCGCGUCUGAUUAGCUAGUUGGUGAGGUAACGGCUCACCAAGGCGACGAUCAGUAGCUGGUCUGAGAGGAUGAUCAGCCUCACUGGGACUGAGACACGGCCCAGACUCCUACGGGAGGCAGCAGUGGGGAAUAUUGGACAAUGGGCGCAAGCCUGACCCAGCCAUGCCGCGUGGGUGAUGAAGGCCCUAGGGUUGUAAGCCCUUUCGGCGGGAAGAUAAUGACGGUACCCGCAGAAGAAGCCCCGGCUAACUUCGUGCCAGCAGCCGCCGCCAGUAAG
This 469-nucleotide ribosomal RNA is filed under the name uncultured Alphaproteobacteria bacterium. Its description in RNAcentral is "bacterial SSU rRNA". It matches the Rfam family "Bacterial small subunit ribosomal RNA", at positions 9 to 527 of the family's 1533-position model. The record is from RNAcentral. Lineage: Bacteria; Pseudomonadati; Pseudomonadota; Alphaproteobacteria.